Molecule: ribosomal RNA, 468 nt
Filed under: uncultured bacterium
Lineage: Bacteria
Description: partial 16S ribosomal RNA
Rfam family: Bacterial small subunit ribosomal RNA
Source: RNAcentral
GACGAACGCUGGCGGCGUGCUUAACACAUGCAAGUCGAACGGAAAGGCCCUGCUUUUGUGGGGUGCUCGAGUGGCGAACGGGUGAGUAACACGUGAGUAACCUGCCCUUGACUUUGGGAUAACUUCAGGAAACUGGGGCUAAUACCGGAUAGGAGCUCCUGCUGCAUGGUGGGGGUUGGAAAGUUUCGGCGGUUGGGGAUGGACUCGCGGCUUAUCAGCUUGUUGGUGGGGUAGUGGCUUACCAAGGCUUUGACGGGUAGCCGGCCUGAGAGGGUGACCGGCCACAUUGGGACUGAGAUACGGCCCAGACUCCUACGGGAGGCAGCAGUGGGGAAUAUUGCACACUGGGCGGAAGCCUGAUGCAGCAACGCCGCGUGCGGGAUGAAGGCCUUCGGGUUGUAAACCGCUUUCGCCUGUGAAGAAGAGUGAGUGACGGUAAUGGGUAAAGAAGCACCGGCUAACUACGUG